UACGGAGGGUGCGAGCGUUGUUCGGAUUCACUGGGCGUAAAGGGUGCGUAGGUGGCUUGAAAAGUUUGAUGUGAAAGCUCAGGGCUUAACCCUGAAAUGGCAUUGAAUACUGUCGAGCUGGAGGUUUGGAGGGGGGACUGGAAUUCUUGGUGUAGCAGUGAAAUGCGCAGAUAUCAGGAGGAACACCGAUGGCGAAGGCAGCUCGCUGGGACGGUACUGACGCUGAGACGCGAAAGCGUGGGGAGCAAACAGG
Molecule: ribosomal RNA, 253 nt
Filed under: uncultured bacterium
Lineage: Bacteria
Description: partial 16S ribosomal RNA
Rfam family: Bacterial small subunit ribosomal RNA
Source: RNAcentral